AAUAUUGGACAAUGGGGGCAACCCUGAUCCAGCCAUGCCGCGUGUGUGAAGAAGGUCUUCGGAUUGUCAAGCACUUCAAGUUGGGGGGAAGGGCAGUAAGAUAAUACAUUGCUGUUUUGACGUUACCGACAGAAUAAGCACCGACUAACUUCGUCCCAGCAGCCGCGGUAAUACGAAGGAGGCAAGCGUUAAUCGGAAUUAUUGGGCGUAAAGCGAGCGUAGGUGGUUUGUUAAGUUGGAAGUGAAAGCCCCGGGCUCAACCUGGGAACUGCUUUCGAAACUGGCAAGCUAGAGUAUGGCAGAGGGUGGUGGAAUUUCAUGUGUAGCGGUGAAAUGCGUAGAUAUAGGAAGGAACAUCAGUGGCGAAGGCGACCACCUGGGCUAAUACUGACACUGAGGUGCGAAAGCGUGGGGAGCAAAC
RNAcentral lists this ribosomal RNA (421 nucleotides) under uncultured bacterium. RNAcentral's name for it is "partial 16S ribosomal RNA". It matches the Rfam family "Bacterial small subunit ribosomal RNA", at positions 360 to 773 of the family's 1533-position model. The record is from RNAcentral.